Melospiza georgiana is the source of this 2898-nucleotide long non-coding RNA. RefSeq lists it as uncharacterized. The transcript is spliced from 3 exons. Lineage: Eukaryota; Metazoa; Chordata; Aves; Passeriformes; Passerellidae. The record is from RefSeq and is a predicted model, not a curated record.
UUUGAAUAUGCAGAAAAAGUGGGUAUGUCCUGUAAUCUAUGCUAGCUUUUCUCGUUUACAGGGUACUCACAAAAUAUGUCUCCCUUAGUGUCCCACAGAAACAUUCUGGGUGAAAUCUGAAUUAAGGUAUGUGUUUUCAAAUAAGUAAUCAGUUUAGAUAUUUGCCUGUGUACCUUUUCCUGUAAUUCAGAGCUUGUGUUCUGUGGGUUUUAUGAUAAACCUGUAAAACAUGUAAGAAUGGUUUUGCAAGUCUGAAUCGUUGAAGGCAGCAAUAAGUGGAUUUAAAGCCUGUUCUUGAGCAGACAAAGGGGAAAAGUGUGACUCUGAUGCUGAACUUGUCAUUUUUCAUUUGACUUGCCUUGAAUUAUUGAAGAAGAGAGAGAACUAGGAAAAGAAAUAGAAUUGAUUAUUGAGCACUCCUAAAAAGCUCACCAUGAUUCUGUGUAGAGCCAAAGUGAAGGAUGAUGGAACAGAGCUCUGUGCAUUAGAAGGAAAUAAACCUGAUGUCCACACAGAGUCUUACUAAUUUCUGUUUUUAAAAUGCAAAAUAAGUUUAGGAAGUGUUGGAAGUUAGUAUUUUGGGAAAGAAAUGGCAGUUCCACAAAACAUUCCAUUCCAUUUAAGAGAGGCCCUUGGACUGAUUCAUGUUGUAACUGCUGUCACUGCAAUCAGUUGGUGGUUCAGCCUUGAAACGUGCACUUGGCCUUCUAUAAAGCACUGUUUUGUUUGCCUUUCAGUGCUAUGAGUCUUGAUAAAUUGGAGAAGUGCCCAAGAGAAAUUCAUCAUCCUGAGAUACAAAAGGUAGGAAGUGACUUUUUUUGGUUUGGUUCUUUUUCUUUAUUGUUUUCUGGAAAUAGAAGUAAUUAAGUAUAGAUACUACUGGUUUGUUUCUUCCAGUAGCUGAUAAUACUAAUACCAAUAAUAAUAAUAAUAAGAGUAAAGUAAUACUACUUAAAUUGUCUUUAUUUAUCCAUUGAACUGGCCAUUUUAAAUCUAAACUUCUAAACACAAAUCAAACCAUCAUCCUUGUAGAAUCUUUAAUAGGAGUGGGCUAAAGAUCCUGGUUUUGUUGACAGGAUUUAUUGGUUCAUGAAGAGCAAGAGGUAAGUACAAGCCUAACUACCCUCUAGCUCACAGACCUGCCCGGUGAAUAGAGCUUUGUUUUUUUGAUGGGCUUGUGAUGACUUUGAGAUCAAUUGCUCAUUCAUUACAGUAAAAAAAAAAAAAUUGUUUUGAACAUGACAGCAAAAAUAACUUUAAGCACAACUUAAUAAUAAUAGAUCACCAAUUUUAGUUAAUAAUUUUAUGCUAUACUCUUGGGUGAGGGAAGACUCGGACACUCAAUAUGAGAUCAGCAAGCUAUGUUUAUUGCAGAGAGUAUCAGACACUUAUACAGCACAUAAUAAGCUUAUGAAUAUUCUGUAAGCCAAGCGAUCUAUUUGUUAAACUAUACCAUCAACUCUUCCUCAUUCCUUUGGGCCUACAUUCCCUAUUUCCCACGUCUCUCUGUCUACUUGUUAUCCUACCCAGCUAGGCCCAGGCACACGCUAUCUUGCAGGUGCAAAACUCAAAAAUACCUGUGUUCGGUACUUUCCCAGCUCCUGGUCGGCUAACGAGCGAAUGUCUGCGUGACCUCUGUCAUGGAGCCAUUUCUCCACACUAUACUAUCAAAGUUUAAAGGUAAAUUAUUAUAUAUUAGGAGAUGGUGUAAAGUGUAUGUUGUAAUGUGUAGGAUAUAUACAAAGAUACGUACUUGAAAGUCCGUAGAGGAAACAAAUUUUUACACCUUCUGUUUGACUGUUUGUCAUAUAUUUGGUUUUAUUUCCCAGGGAUCAGUGAAUUUUAACUCUGGAGUCCUCUAUGCUAAGGAUGCUCAGCUUACAGAUGAUGAAAUGUUCAGUAAUGUAUUUGCUGGAGCUGUGCUUACCCAAGGUUUGGGUAAAACAAGCUUUGGGUUCCCUCUGUCUCACUGGGAGUUGCCCAAUUCAGUUGCAUCUGGUGAAAUUCACCCUGAGACCUUACAGAACCAGCUCCAACUACGUGAGAGCCAUUUGCAGUUCUCUCCAGACGCCUGGAGAAUGGGUGACGUUUCUGAGGAUCCGGCGAGCGUGCUUCUGUCAAAACUCAGUCUGUGAAAUUUCUGGGGAAAACCCUUCUGUGUCCUGAAGGGUUCAAACUCUGGUGAGGAUCCAGUUAUCAGGUGCUCACCUGGAUGGUUCCAGCUCCCAAAGGUAACACUUGUACUCUUGCCCUGUAGUUUACAUCUAUUGUAUUUUUGUUAUUUUGCAGGAUUUUUUGUCUUUGCAAAAUAUUGUGCAUUUCACUCUUUGGAACCUCUCAGAUGGUUCUUUGGUGCAGCACCACCCCAUGGGACACUUGGCUGCUGUCCUGAAGGGGUUGGUGGCUAGAAUUGUGAAUCCUGGAGAGUUUAUAAGUCUUCUGUCCCCAGGGAGGUAUCAUGCUUUGUUUACUUUUGUUCUGUUGGUUAGGUGCUGCUUCUCGUUGCAAGUACGAAUUUCAAACUGCCCUGUUCUUAUUUUAACUGUUUUCCUGGUUCUCUCCGUCCGGCAGGGAAAGACUCUCGUAUCCUUGUCGUCGGGCUCGGUGCUGUCCAAGAAGAUACAGAGACUAAAAAAAUCAUAAGAAGCAAAAUAUGACUGCAGGGAAAAGAAGCUGGAGAGAACAGAAGACUCAUCACGGCGGGACAGCGUGAGGACUGAAAGUGUAAGAAGAUGUGGAGGGAAACAGAGAAUCUGACAGGAGCAGCGAACGCACGAGUGCACGAAUUUUGCUUUUUGCUUGGAUGUAAACUCAGGAGUUGAAAGGAAUUUGGGAGUGAGAAGGGACAUUUCAGAAGGAGAAGAAGAAAAAGAAGUUGUUGUUGUUGCUACAGUCCUG